CGGCGAGGGGCAGAAUGCCUCGGGCGGGCCCAACGCCUUAAAGGGACGGCUUGCGGAGCGCGCUUUCCUGUGCAAAGCGGUAACCUCUGCGUCGGCGGGCGUCGGUCCGUCUCGCGCACUUUCUAAAAACGGAAGGGAAGACGGGACCCCGAAGGCGCCCCAGGAGCUCCGCGCGCGGAAGGACGCCCUCGACGGGGAAGUGCCCGGGGAGCAGGGCGCGUGGUUGUCCUGGACUCGGACGCGGGAGCUGAGAGGAGCCCAAGGAGGAUGCCGGGGCCCGGUCUCUGGCCCUGGCCCAGCUCUGCGUGGAUCUCCGUGCCUCGGAGCCUCGCCACACACACCCCGCCCGCCCCGGGCCGCCUUUGUUACGGCGGUUAAUGAAACCAGCUUGGGGUGAAGGACACUUCCCUCCUCCUGGCCACCUGGGCCAGCAUGGGAGUCCAUCGUGUCACCCCUCCAUCAACUCUGGCUGGCUCAGCCAUCCAUUUCUCUCCAUCCUGGCCCCAGGUUUUGUCUCCCAAGGGGCCUUUUCCAAACCUUCCGGAAGCUCAGUCGGAAUAAAACUCCCAGUGCUGGGAUCUGUCACCUCCCCUGCCCGGAUCUCGAAGACUCAGAGCCAGCUCCCCAUUGCUCUCAUGUCCAAAUCCAGCGUCUGCUGGCGGAGUUUACCAGACCCCCCUCUAGCUUAGCAACACCCCCAGUCUGUGCACCCCAGAUCCCAGCCCCAAAUCAAAAAUACCUCCAACCCUCCAGGCAGAGCUGGAUAAGGUUUGGUACCCAGAACUCAGAGCCGGUUCCCGAGUAAACUGGUCUCGCUCCUCUCUCCCCAGACAGAGCCUUCUGUGAAAAUGAGGAAGCCCCAUUAAGUGCUGUUGCAGCCCAUCCUGGCAGCCAUACCUAAAACACCACAACCCGAGAACACAGCAGAUAAAGCAAUUUAGCAAAAGCAGGUGAUUUGCUUUAUUGCCAAAGUCUUAAAUCCUUUUAUAUCCCUUCUGAGAUGUGGUCGGCUCAGAAAAAUCGCAGGUAGAAAUGGAAGAGAGGAUGAAAACUACAGAGAGGGGGAGAACAUUUUGGAGAUUGUUUUUUCCAGAACAUCAACUGUGCUUUGGCAAACGGGAGCUAAUUAGUAAAUGAACCUGUUUCCAUGA
Lutra lutra (Eurasian river otter) is the source of this 1151-nucleotide long non-coding RNA. RefSeq lists it as uncharacterized. The record is from RefSeq and is a predicted model, not a curated record. The transcript has 2 exons. Lineage: Eukaryota; Metazoa; Chordata; Mammalia; Carnivora; Mustelidae.